This 71-nucleotide transfer RNA is filed under the name Psychrobacter sp. JCM 18900. Its description in RNAcentral is "tRNA-Gly". It matches the Rfam family "tRNA". From Rfam's summary of the family: Transfer RNA (tRNA) molecules are approximately 80 nucleotides in length. Their secondary structure includes four short double-helical elements and three loops (D, anti-codon, and T loops). Lineage: Bacteria; Pseudomonadati; Pseudomonadota; Gammaproteobacteria; Moraxellales; Moraxellaceae. The record is from RNAcentral.
GCGGGAAUAGCUCAGUGGUAGAGCAUAACCUUGCCAAGGUUGGGUCGAGAGUUCGAAUCUCUUUUCCCGCU